UGCAGUCGACGGAACUCUUCGGAGUUUAGUGGCGGACGGGUGAGUAACGCGUGAGAAUCUGCCUUCAGGUUGGGGACAACAGUUGGAAACGACUGCUAAUACCCAAUGUGCCGAGAGGUGAAAGCUUUAGUGCCUGAAGAUGAGCUCGCGUCUGAUUAGCUAGUUGGUGAGGUAAUGGCUUACCAAGGCGACGAUCAGUAGCUGGUCUGAGAGGAUGAUCAGCCACACUGGGACUGAGACACGGCCCAGACUCCUACGGGAGGCAGCAGUGGGGAAUUUUCCGCAAUGGGCGCAAGCCUGACGGAGCAAGACCGCGUGAGGGAGGAAGGCUCUUGGGUUGUAAACCUCUUUUAUCAGGGAAGAAGAUCUGACGGUACCUGAUGAAUCAGCAUCGGCUAACUCCGUGCCAGCAGCCGCGGUAAUACGGAGGAUGCAAGCGUUAUCCGGAUUUAUUGGGCGUAAAGCGUCCGCAGGUGGUUUUUCAAGUCUGCUGUUAAAGCGCAGAGCUUAACUCUGUAACGGCGGUGGAAACUGAGAGACUAGAGUAUGGUAGGGGUUGCGGGAAUUCCCAGUGUAGCGGUGAAAUGCGUAGAUAUUGGGAAGAACACCAGCGGCGAAAGCGCGCAACUGGGCCAUUACUGACACUCAUGGACGAAAGCUAGGGGAGCGAAAGGGAUUAGAUACCCCUGUAGUCCUAGCUGUAAACGAUGGGUACUAGGUGUUGACCGUAUCGACCCGGUCAGUGCCGUAGCUAACGCGUUAAGUACCCCGGCCUGGGGAGUAUGCACGCAGUGUGAAACUCAAAGGAUUGACGGGGCCCGCACAAGCGUGAGUAUGUGUUUAAUU
RNAcentral lists this ribosomal RNA (846 nucleotides) under uncultured cyanobacterium. RNAcentral's name for it is "bacterial SSU rRNA". It matches the Rfam family "Bacterial small subunit ribosomal RNA", at positions 56 to 951 of the family's 1533-position model. The record is from RNAcentral. Lineage: Bacteria; Bacillati; Cyanobacteriota.